This 339-nucleotide ribosomal RNA is filed under the name Pachydactylus formosus. Its description in RNAcentral is "partial 12S ribosomal RNA". It matches the Rfam family "Bacterial small subunit ribosomal RNA", at positions 867 to 1366 of the family's 1533-position model. The record is from RNAcentral. Lineage: Eukaryota; Metazoa; Chordata; Lepidosauria; Squamata; Gekkonidae.
GUCCGCCAGAGAAUUACAAGCAUAUCGCUUCAAACCCAAAGGACUUGACGGUGCCCCACACCAGCCUAGAGGAGCCUGUCCUAUAAUCGAUACUCCACGUUUUACCUUCCCCCCCCUUGCACCCCAGCCUAUAUACCGCCGUCGCCAGUCCGCCUGAUGACAGAUUUCCUUUCACAGCCGACAAAACAGCUAAUCACAAAAACGUCAGGUCAAGGUGUAGCUGAUGGGGGGGUUAGCGAUGGGCUACAUUUUCUAAAAUAGAACCUACCUACCACACCAUGAAAUAUGAGUCAAAAGGCGGAUUUAGUAGUAAGCAUGAAUAAGACCUGUCACCCUGAA